Molecule: ribosomal RNA, 484 nt
Filed under: uncultured bacterium
Lineage: Bacteria
Description: partial 16S ribosomal RNA
Rfam family: Bacterial small subunit ribosomal RNA
Source: RNAcentral
AUUGAACGCUGGCGGCAGGCCUAACACAUGCAAGUCGAGCGGAUGAAGGGAGCUUGCUCCUGGAUUCAGCGGCGGACGGGUGAGUAAUGCCUAGGUAUCUGCCUGGUAGUGGGGGAUAACGUCCGGAAACGGGCGCUAAUACCGCAUACGUCCUGAGGGAGAAAGUGGGGGAUCUUCGGACCUCACGCUAUCAGAUGAGCCUAGGUCGGAUUAGCUAGUUGGUGGGGUAAAGGCCUACCAAGGCGACGAUCCGUAACUGGUCUGAGAGGAUGAUCAGUCACACUGGAACCGAGACACGGUCCAGACUCCUACGGGAGGCAGCAGUGGGGAAUAUUGGACAAUGGGCUAAAGCCUGAUCCAGCCAUGCCGCGUGUGUGAAGAAGGUCUUCGGAUUGUAAAGCACUUUAAGUUGGGAGGAAGGGCAGUAAGUUAAUACCUUGCUGUUUUGACGUUACCAACAGAAUAAGCACCGGCUAACUUCGUG